CUGGACACGCAAUGACCACCCUGGUCAAUAUAAAUAACCAUCAGUUUCUCCGGAAGAUCAUUCUGGCUGUCUACCUCUGCAGUGUAAGAAUCAUCGCCCGCCCCGCCCACCUCUCACCAUGAACAAGUCUCUGAUGCUCGUGUUGAUCCCCUGCCUGGUGGCUUACGUCAUGGCCCAGUAUUACCAGCCUGGAUACGGUGGUAUGGCUGGAUACGGUGGUGGGUACGGGCCUGGAACCUACUACAACUACGCCGCGCAGAGCGCCCAAGGAGCCAAGACAAGCAACUUGUUGAACUAUGGUCUUCUCUUCUUCGCCAUCCUCAUCCUGACCAAUGCCACUGGUAGUAUCACUGGUUAGAGUUGGAUACAAAGAGCAAGCUAGUACACGCAUAUCAAAUGAUUUCCACAGUCGGCCUAACAUAACUAUUAUAUUGCGCGAUCGUCACCAGAUAUUGUUGCUUCUCUUCUGUUAUUGUUUUAAUAAAAAAUAUUUAUUGGA
Molecule: long non-coding RNA, 499 nt
Organism: Mizuhopecten yessoensis (Yesso scallop)
Lineage: Eukaryota; Metazoa; Mollusca; Bivalvia; Pectinida; Pectinidae
Exons: 4
Source: RefSeq, a predicted model, not a curated record